RNAcentral lists this transfer RNA (85 nucleotides) under Accumulibacter sp. RNAcentral describes it as "tRNA-Leu". It matches the Rfam family "tRNA". From Rfam's summary of the family: Transfer RNA (tRNA) molecules are approximately 80 nucleotides in length. Their secondary structure includes four short double-helical elements and three loops (D, anti-codon, and T loops). The record is from RNAcentral. Lineage: Bacteria; Pseudomonadati; Pseudomonadota; Betaproteobacteria.
GCGAGAGUGGCGGAAUAGGUAGACGCACUGGAUUUAGGUUCCAGCGCCGCGAGGCGUGGGGGUUCGAGUCCCUUCUCUCGCACCA